UACGUAUGGUGCAAGCGUUAUCCGGAUUUACUGGGUGUAAAGGGAGCGUAGACGGCUUUGCAAGCCAGAUGUGAAAGCCCGGGGCUCAACCCCGGGACUGCAUUUGGAACUGUGUGGCUAGAGUGUCGGAGAGGCAGGCGGAAUUCCUAGUGUAGCGGUGAAAUGCGUAGAUAUUAGGAGGAACACCGGUGGCGAAAGCGGCUCUCUGGCCUGUAACUGACACUGAGGCUCGAAAGCGUGGGGAGCAAACAGG
This 253-nucleotide ribosomal RNA is filed under the name uncultured bacterium. RNAcentral's name for it is "partial 16S ribosomal RNA". It matches the Rfam family "Bacterial small subunit ribosomal RNA", at positions 524 to 776 of the family's 1533-position model. The record is from RNAcentral.